Anopheles aquasalis is the source of this 911-nucleotide long non-coding RNA. RefSeq lists it as uncharacterized. NCBI's taxonomy places the organism in Eukaryota, Metazoa, Arthropoda, Insecta, Diptera, Culicidae. The record is from RefSeq and is a predicted model, not a curated record.
GUGUCCGUCGUGCGUGCUGCUAUAUUGACGACAAUUCACCGCGACACGCGCACAGCACACUACGGUUCCGUGUCCGACGACGACAGUGACGACUAAAACGAGCCUACUCUAUACCUUCAGCACACAACAGAACUGCAGAGAGAAGGGGCUGCUGCUUUCGUCCACGUUCGGUCCUAUUCCUUGUCCAGCGCAGGAUGGCAGUGUUGGGGAGGAUUGGUGGUCGAGAGCAGCGGUCAAUCCGUGGUCCCCUUCAGAGCUGCAGCAGCCACCACGACCAACGACCCACGAACUCCCGGUGGCCGAUGGACGCGAACAAUGCACACAGCAACACCGCGCCGUGAGCGCUGCUUCCCAUCUGGCCGACGAUACGACGCCGGCCGCCAGGCUAGCGAACUCGCGAUAGGUGUCGCACGUGCGUACGACGCAUGUGCCGGACUGAUUUGCAUCCUUCCAAGGCACAGAUACUAUCGAGGUGCUUUCGUCGUUCCUUUCUUUCGGUUCCAUUCGUUUUGCUUCGUUAUGCGUCCCGAAGGUGGUGCGCACGUUGGGGCAUCCAAGUGAUCGAAUCGCUUUUAAAAGGGUGUUCGGUUAAAACGGUAUUCUGCUCAAUAUCAACUAUACUACCACCACAUUAUUAGUGAGUAAAUUGCAUUAAAGGGCAGUGGAAAGCGAAUCACACGCAAUGCCAGGGACAGCUGAUACGCCUCGAUCUUCGAACGAUCUUCUUCGUUUCUCAAUCUCUAUUAGAAUAUCCGUGUACUUGCGCAGAAUAGUAUUCAAAAUAGCUAAAUCAGUGCUUUAUUAAAGUUAUACAUGAGAACGAAAAGACGGAUCAUGAGCAGUGUCAUUAACAAUGAAACUUAGGUAAAUAUUAACAAUAAAUAUGCAAUAUGCAUUGAUCUCGACAGUAA